GACGAACGCUGGCGGCGUGCUUAACACAUGCAAGUCGAACGGAAAGGCCCUGCUUUUGUGGGGUGCUCGAGUGGCGAACGGGUGAGUAACACGUGAGUAACCUGCCCUUGACUUUGGGAUAACUUCAGGAAACUGGGGCUAAUACCGGAUAGGAGCUCCUGCUGCAUGGUGGGGGUUGGAAAGUUUCGGCGGUUGGGGAUGGACUCGCGGCUUAUCAGCUUGUUGGUGGGGUAGUGGCUUACCAAGGCUUUGACGGGUAGCCGGCCUGAGAGGGUGACCGGCCACAGGGGGACGGAGAUAGGCCACAGACUCCAGCGGGCGGCAGCAGUGGGGAUGAUGGCACAGGGGGCGGUAGGCUGAAGCAGCAACGCAGGGUGGGGGAGGACGGCAUGCGGAUUGUGAGCCGGUUACGCCUGUGACGAAGCGUGAGUGACGGGAAUGGGUAAAGGAGGACGGGCUAGCUACGUG
This 468-nucleotide ribosomal RNA is filed under the name uncultured bacterium. RNAcentral's name for it is "partial 16S ribosomal RNA". It matches the Rfam family "Bacterial small subunit ribosomal RNA", at positions 28 to 507 of the family's 1533-position model. The record is from RNAcentral.